GCUUAUUUUUUUUCACUUUUUACGUUCAUUUGUCCACCCUCCACUUUCCUUUCUCUUGCAUGACCCUUUUUGGGGAAAAGGAAACUUUUUUUCCUUUUUAUUUUCGAGAUUUGGGGAUUUUUUGUUGACGAUGGAUCAGUAAUUGCAUUUCAUAUCACAAAAAACCCUUUUAAUUCUCUUUGUUUGUUUUCAUUAAUGUUGUAUCUCACAGGACACAUCCCUGUGUCUGUUUCCUGUGUUGGAUUUGACCACAUCCUCUAACAUUCACCAUUUUGCCUGAUCCUCAUAACGCUUCUCUGCAGGACGGAUGGAUACAGUGUCUGCUACAGUAUGUCAUGUGUGCUCACUUGCUGCUGUAUUCAUGAGUGGAAUCGUUGCUAACAUUAAUGAUAAUAUAUGGAGCGACCCUCUUGACCGUGAACUGAAUUUGUUUUAUAAACAAUUUAUGUACGUUUUUAAAAUGAUCUGUCCGUGUCCUUAUAAUGGUGUUAUAUGUAGGACAAAUACAUAUAAUAGGCAUCAUAGAUCCCGCUGUGCUGUUUAAGUUACAAGGAUAUUUACUUAUGAGUAGCCUUGUGGGGGGGGGUGGUCUUAUGUUAAAUAUACUGCACUAUUGCAACACCAUAACAGCAUAAUCCAGCCAAAAGUACAUUUGUUUGUAAUGUGGUUUUGUAAUCAGAAAUGAGGAAUUUCAUGGCUAAGCAAGAAGAAAAAUUAUAAGGCUCAAGACAGGGACAAACGGCGAACCUGUCAGCCAGAAUAUGCAGUCUGUUACUUGGACACAUAAUCGUCGACUACUGCUGUGUUUCUAAAUAUUAUUGUCUUAUAAUUUAAGCAAAAGGCAAGCUCUCUGUUAUCAUGCAUUACAAAUGGAUCAAAGCGAUCUGCAAAUCAUUGAAUUGGGAAUGGAUCGCUAGGAACAUUGACCUUUACAUACAACUAUUUUCUUUUGUGGAAGUUCUAGGAUAUUUAGAUGUUUAUAAUGAUGACCAAACUCUUGUUCUCGACUCCAAAUUGUGUCUAGCUCCCUUGCUUUCUAUGCUAGUUGAUCAAUGCAAAUCAUUGAACGCAACACAUUCAGGUUAUACAUUUUGGCAUUUGUGGUUGAUACUGAAUGAAAACCGGCAUCUCCUAGCUCCUACUUACUUGUUAAAACGGAUGACUAAAAGUGCAUAAAUCAUCCAUCCACUAUAGUUGGAGAAUCCAUGAUUUGAGUCAGAUCUCUCCUUCAAUCUCCUCAGAGACCACUGCUGAAACUGUAGGUGUAGUGUUUAAUCCCUCAAGUGAACAAAGGAACUGUGCGUCUGAUUUUUAUCCGCACACACCCACCCGAGUGGAGGAAUUGUUAUUCAAGGCCCUUUGAUCAUUCUUCAUAUGGAUUACUGGCCCAGGGAUUCCAGCUUUCCUUAUUCAUGCUAAUUGCGCCCAUCACUUGAACUCUGUGUGCCUUUUCCACACUGCGGGUUGCAAUUCUGCAUAGAUGUGAUUGCAUUGUUGUGCUUCAGGCCUGAUGGUUUUCUAGAGUGUGUUCACACCAUUCGCAUGAACAGCCAUCAGAGUACCCAGUUAAUGUCAGCAAAGAGCAAUACUGCAGUACCAAUGCUGUCGUUUUUUUCUUCACCCUUCCGUUUUUCUCACAGUUAGGCACAAUGUCUCUCUUUGGCCCACAACAUUUUCCUCUCACACCCUCGACUUUUGUGACACCUUGACCUCCUCCCGGUCCAUUCUGCUCCAUUUCUUCCGUCUUCUUUCUUCCUCUGCCUCAACAUCCACCCAUCUCCCAAAGAGCCUCUAAAGGAGGGGCAUCUUGUCCAGCUGCUAGGUGGUGGUGGUGGUGUCUGGGGAGCAACUGCACCGAUCUGUCUAUGGAAAGGGCGUUGGCCCUCCACCUGCCCCCCUGCCCCUACAUCGCCUGCCUCUCCCCAGGGACCGGCUAGUGGCUGCAGGCCAGCAAGGCACAGAAUCCCUGUACAGUCAGCCCCUCUGCAGAGCUCUAGCCACCUCCUCCUCCUCCUCCUCCUCCUCCCUCUAUCUCCUCCUCCUCCUCCUCCUCCUCCCUCUAUCUCCUCAUUCUCCUCAUUCAUGCAAGGCUGCGGUGAAUGCAGAUUUGCAUACCAGAGUCCAUUGCUGCACAUCGUACUUGGCUUCUUCCUUAUUCUUCUUCUAUUUUCUUUUCAGCUGGUCCUGAAAUGUGGAUGAUUAAGUCUUUCACACCGCCACUCUUUGUGACCUGUCGUUCACAGUGCAUAUUGAUGCAAUCAUCGUUCCCCUUGUAUCUGUUGUUUCUCUUUGCAUGUACUCAGAAUUCACCAGCCAUUUCUCUUAUCCGUAUCCUCAUGUUCAAUCAAUUGCUGCCCUUUUUCAAAUCGUUUUUUUUUUGGUGCAGAGAGAAAUGUUUGAGGACCUUCUAUCUGUGAUUGAUGCUCGCUGUGCCUUUUAAAGACUGCGGUAUUUUGGAAUUACUAAAGGCUUGCAUAGAACAUGCAUGUGUGAUGGAUAUAUAUAUUAUCAUAAAAUAACGACCCCAUGGGUUUCAAUAGAAGGGCUUCGACUUGGCGUGUGGACUGACUGAAGCAACAUAAGGGAACAUAUGGGGGAGACUACAUGAAGUGCUCUGUGGGAGGUCUGGGCUGGACACCACACUGCAUCCUGUCCUACUCCCAAUACAUGUUUCUGGCUUCCAGAUACAAAAACUCUGAACUGGGUCAUCUUCCCAGUCAUGUUUUUAUUUGGGUAUUGUAAACCCUUAAAAUAUUUUAAUGGCGAGUCUGCUGUUUUUGAGGGAGGUUCUGUCACCAGAGUUGUGCUACUCCAUUUCUUUUGUAGAAAGAGAGAGUAGCGAAGUUUAUUUUGUCUAGAGUUUAACCUCAAUACUUGCCAGUGACAGCAACUAUUCUAUCAGACUAAACUGCAAAUAAGAUGCAAUUCUUCUUGAAAUCGUAUUUAUAUAAAGCACGUGAAGAUUAAUUUUGGUAGAAUUCAUAUCCUUGUCGGGGCUCUUUGGGUCCUUUAUGUGUAACAAAUUAACAUUCAUUAAUGCUAAAACUUGAGAACCUUUGAGGUGAGGUGCCAUUGCCCUGUUCCUUUAAGGUGAGAAUACGUAUUUCGUAAGCCGGCUUCCAUGUGUCAAAUGUUUGUCGUGGAGUCGUGUCAGACACCGGAUGUGUCUAACGAUUACGAUUGAACCAAUGAAAGGUAGACCGUAGUA
Molecule: long non-coding RNA, 3208 nt
Organism: Gadus macrocephalus (Pacific cod)
Lineage: Eukaryota; Metazoa; Chordata; Actinopteri; Gadiformes; Gadidae
Exons: 2
Source: RefSeq, a predicted model, not a curated record